UGAGGAAUAUUGCGCAAUGGGGGAAACCCUGACGCAGCGAUGCCGCGUGGGUGAAGAAGGCCUUCGGGUCGUAAAGCCCUGUCAAGCGGGAAGAAUAGCCGGGGGACGAAUAAUCCCUCGGUGUGACGGUACCGCUGAAGGAAGCACCGGCUAACUCCGUGCCAGCAGCCGCGGUAAGACGGAGGGUGCGAGCGUUAUUCGGAUUUAUUGGGCGUAAAGAGCGUGUAGGCGGUCGAUCAAGCCAGAGGUGAAAGCCCGGGGCUUAACCUCGGAAGUGCCUUUGGAACUGGUCGACUUGAGUUCGGGAGAGGGAAGUGGAAUUCCGGGUGUAGAGGUGAAAUUCGUAGAUAUCCGGAGGAACACCGGUGGCGAAGGCGACUUCCUGGACCGAAACUGACGCUGAGACGCGAAAGCGUGGGGAGCAAACAGG
RNAcentral lists this ribosomal RNA (430 nucleotides) under uncultured Desulfobacca sp. RNAcentral's name for it is "bacterial SSU rRNA". It matches the Rfam family "Bacterial small subunit ribosomal RNA", at positions 355 to 776 of the family's 1533-position model. The record is from RNAcentral. Lineage: Bacteria; Pseudomonadati; Thermodesulfobacteriota; Desulfobaccia; Desulfobaccales; Desulfobaccaceae.